GCUUGCAGGUCCAAGCCAUUGGUAGCAGCCCCUGGUAUAUCCAGGACAUCAGCAUAUGGAACCAGGGAAAGGGUCCUCCCUCAUAGUGACGCAUGUCAUAGACUCAGAUUUAUACAAACAAAUGCUGAGCAAACCAUGAAGAGUCUCUGGUAUUUUCAACAAUAUCAUCACAGAGGAACUGUAUUGAUUUCCUUUCAUGUUCAGGGUACUGGGAGAGGCAACAGGGAUGGAGGUCCCAUGUCAGGGGACUUCACAGUGUGACGGGAAUGUUCAACCUGCACCUGUUCCUUGCACCAUACUCCAUCCAGCUCUCCGCUCUUCCAGUCAUUUAUGCUCCUGUCUUCCCUGGAGGAAGCCUGGUAGUAUCUCCCGGGGACACUGGCUCAAAUUUUCAGCCACCUGCCCAAGAUAGAUGGGACCAGGGGCCAGAUGAUGUGGACAAUGACGAUGUCACAAAGAGAAAUAAGAAAUAAAGGAGGCAACUUAGUGGGAAAGGUGAUGUUCUGGGUUCUGAAGAAGAUGAGAAAUACCAGGCCAGGCUGUGCUUUGCCUCUUGGCCUAUUUUCCUUCCUGACUUUUUUCAGCCACGGUGAGUCUCUGAGACCUAGUUUUGGCAGAAGGAAGUACCAGAGGGAGCUGAGCUGUUGAACGUUAUGUGCGACCAUGUAAUAACUGCAAUCGGAAGGGAAACACUCAGAGUCCUGGAGA
This 708-nucleotide long non-coding RNA is filed under the name Pan troglodytes (chimpanzee). RNAcentral describes it as "lincRNA". The record is from RNAcentral. Lineage: Eukaryota; Metazoa; Chordata; Mammalia; Primates; Hominidae.